RNAcentral lists this ribosomal RNA (253 nucleotides) under uncultured bacterium. RNAcentral's name for it is "partial 16S ribosomal RNA". It matches the Rfam family "Bacterial small subunit ribosomal RNA", at positions 524 to 776 of the family's 1533-position model. The record is from RNAcentral.
UACGUAGGGGGCAAGCGUUGUCCGGAAUCAUUGGGCGUAAAGCGCGUGUAGGCGGCCAGAUAAGUCCGCUGUGAAAUCUCGAGGCUCAACUUCGAGCUGUCGGUGGAAACUGUCUGGCUAGAGUACGGAAGAGGAGAAUGGAAUUCCUGGUGUAGCGGUGAAAUGCGCAGAUAUCAGGAAGAACACCCGUGGCGAAGGCGGUUCUCUGGGACGGUACUGACGCUGAGACGCGAAAGCGUGGGGAGCAAACAGG